This is a long non-coding RNA of Camelus dromedarius (Arabian camel), 820 nucleotides long. RefSeq lists it as uncharacterized. The record is from RefSeq and is a predicted model, not a curated record. Lineage: Eukaryota; Metazoa; Chordata; Mammalia; Artiodactyla; Camelidae. The transcript has 4 exons.
AGCUCCCGACCCUCCGCCCGGCUCCACCUUGCCGGCCUGGACAGUCGUGCCCUCUGCCCUCUCUGCUCCCUCUCUGUCGGCGUCCGGCGCGCCUGUGCGACCUCGGCAUAGAUGAGGCAGGAAGAGCCUGGAUUUAUGUUUGAACUGAGUGUAACCUGGGUGUACGCGUUCCUGUGCUCAUUUGCAUGAACCAGUGCUUUGCACUUGCUUGGCUGAGCACUCAAGGCACUCGCCACGCUUCAAGGAAUGCGUUCUGAAGAGAUCACCAGCGAAGGAGUGGAGGAAGGUGCACAUGCCUUACAGAUGUAAAGACGUGCCUUUUAAUGAGUUCAUAUCUUGACCAGCAGAACUCAAAGCUCACAAAGAAGGGUGGACUUAAAGGAGUUGUAUCCAACGGACAACAUACAAGUUCCUGCCACUUCCACUUCACUCAGGUCAGCAGCUCGGUUAGAGGUUUCUGGUGGCUUGCGGGGCUUGGGACACUGAAACUGCAUGCUCUGCUGAGGUGCUCCAGUGAUGCCAAGUAAGGAUCUGGUCCUUCAUCCAGGAAGAGUGGCCUUUCUAAGUUCUCCAAGAAGAAAAAGAAAGAAAGAAAGACAGCAAGCAAGCAAGCAAGCAAGGCAAGCCUGGCCUUUUUAUGAACUUUAAGCUAAAUAAAAUCUGACUGGAAGAUGGGAUUAUUUUUAAAAGAAAGAAAUGAGUGCCUAGUGAUAUUGGUUGGACUUAUUUUAGUACUUUUGGGAGGGAAUUUUCUGCCUGUCUCUACACUAGCUGUUAAUGUCUCUGAACCUCAGUUUUCUUGGCUGUAAAAUAAAGAGGA